GCAACUAUGGUUGAUUUUCAAAGGCAACCAGAAGCUGGGUGCCCUCCUGUGUUCCCUUUCCCUUUGAGAAAAUCUUCCCGGUUUUCCUCACAGAGCUCAAUGUGACACAGAAACUCAGAUGCCAUGGGAGAAACAGUCUCCUGACUUCAUGCACUGACUUACCGUGCUCUCUGUGCUUUGGCUGCCAGUCUCACCUUCCUCAGCAGUGCCACUUUAAAUCUGACUGCUAGCUUCAGCCAGGGAGCUGUUAGUGCCUCUGCAUCCACACACAGAGAAAGGAGGCAAGAGGAGCAGGAGGAGCAAAUGCAGGAGGAGCUUCAGUCCAAGGGCUCUGCAGGCAUCUUUCCCUGGUGAGAAUGGUUGAUCCUCAUCUGACCUUUCCGAUACACAGAUAAAGAAUGUAAUACAGCAUGGACUCAAAAUAUAGUGGGUGAAUCCGUUCCAGAAAUGGCCUUGUGGGAUGGAGGGAAAAGAGGAAGAUCUUCUCUGCUCUCUGUCCAAAAGAUGCUGAUUUGAUCUACAAAGAGGCACAUCCCCAACACUGCCUUUACUUUAGCCAGGCAUACUUGCAGACAUUGGAUGGAGUAUGAGAUUUUUGCACUGAAAAUAUAGCGGUGCAGGGAUUACAGUGCUUCUGUGCUCAGGUGCCCUGGGCACUGCCUGGCCACAGCAGCCAGCAAGUGCAGCCUCGCUGCCUCCUUCCUGUUGCUGAGUAGACAAUAACUAACAGUCUGGUCCAGACCACAGCCCAGAUUUAGAGAUGAAUAACAUAAACAUGUUAAAAUUGUUUGCUUUAUAUAAGCAGAGGAGCUCAUUUUUUUUCUUUACACUAAGAUAGGUUCACUGAGGAUAAGAAAGAUAGGCUCUGAAAAUACAUUCAGAGAUUUGGGCUCCAGGCAGCAGAUGUUGUUGGCUGUAUAUGACACGCAAAUUAUAACCGUGCAUCUCAACCCAGAUUAUUUAACCACAAUAGAGCCUUUGCAGAUUCCAACAAUCUCUUGGUACUUAAUCACUUGCAUUUUCUAUAUGUUGUAAAUUUUAACUGAAUAGUGUACUUUCAAAGGCAUGGAAAUGCUUUGAAAGUACUUAUCUGUAAUUUGAAAUACCUGUAUGUCUCCUAGACCUGGCCUUCACUUGAUAGGCAAAUGCAUCUGUCAGAUAAAAUUGCCUCACUGUGGCUUUAUCAUACACAAUUUCUACAUGCUGGAGCUGAGAUGGCGUCUGUUCCUUCCCAUUUUCUGUUUGAAAGCGUUGGAGCUUUCAAGUCAAGAAAGAGGUCAAAAAGAAGCACUGGCCUCAAAGAUUUCUCAGAUCAGCCUGGCAAACACAUAUCAGUUUUUGUAACCCUCAAGAAAGUAGACAUCAUUCUCAUUAGUUGUACAUUAGCCCAACUCAAGUGACUAGGAACCCAUUUACAGCCAGGUCAACAGGAAAGCAGAUUUCAACAGGAGGCCAAGACUGAAUGUGUGACCCUGCUCUAAGGGUCGCUAAAUGUGCGUUUGAAACACCCAAGUAAAGUUCAAGUAACAUUUUCUUUUCAGGGUUUCUCCCCUGUUUUUAAACCUAUGUCAUCAAAAGCAGAAUAGCGCUAAGAUGAUCUUCAAGGAAAGGAAUAAUGCUGCAAUAACACAGUCAAGCUUGCUGCUCCAGCAAUGAAUGCUUAUUUCACGCUGCUCUCCCAGUGAGUAAUGUUUUAAAUAAACAAAUACUGCAGGGAAGUUGCUGUUAGUACAGUUGUAGGGUUGUAUCCUUGUGGCAAGCUUUUUAUCAUGAUAGUACAACAGGAGUACAGUUUGUUUGCAAGGCAAGUUUGAACCAAGGUGCAAAAGCACAUAAAGUCUGUUAAUAAAUAAUGGACUGUGUGCAUGUGGGUUUUGCAGUGUGGCUUAAAAAAUCAACCCCUUCAAAGAACAAUAAUAUGCAAGUGCUAUCGAAACAAAACAAAAGAAAAUGGAGAGAUUUAAUUUCUAGUCCCUUGGAAUGACAAACAUUCUGUUCUUCU
Pseudopipra pipra is the source of this 2002-nucleotide long non-coding RNA. RefSeq lists it as uncharacterized. The transcript is spliced from 4 exons. Lineage: Eukaryota; Metazoa; Chordata; Aves; Passeriformes; Pipridae. The record is from RefSeq and is a predicted model, not a curated record.